CAGGACGUCGCGACUGGCGUUGAGGUGGUUCACCACCGGGGAGCGAACGACACGGCAUUCGACCGCUCGCCUGGGCCGAUGCG
RNAcentral lists this non-coding RNA (83 nucleotides) under Microbacterium pygmaeum. RNAcentral's name for it is "ZTP sequence". It matches the Rfam family "ZMP/ZTP riboswitch aptamer (pfl RNA motif)". Rfam says of the family: Previously known as pfl RNA. ZMP is also known as AICAR. The record is from Rfam by way of RNAcentral. Lineage: Bacteria; Bacillati; Actinomycetota; Actinomycetes; Micrococcales; Microbacteriaceae.